GUGGGGAAUUUUGGACAAUGGGCGCAAGCCUGAUCCAGCAAUGCCGCGUGCAGGAAGAAGGCCUUCGGGUUGUAAACUGCUUUUGUACGGAACGAAACGGUCCGGGUUAAUACCCUGGGCUAAUGACGGUACCGUAAGAAUAAGCACCGGCUAACUACGUGCCAGCAGCCGCGGUAAUACAUAGGGUGCAAGCGUUAAUCGGAAUUACUGGGCGUAAAGCGUGCGCAGGCGGUUUUGUAAGACAGGCGUGAAAUCCCCGGGCUCAACCUGGGAAUUGCGCUUGUGACUGCAAGGCUGGAGUGCGGCAGAGGGGGAUGGAAUUCCGCGUGUAGCAGUGAAAUGCGUAGAUAUGCGGAAGAACACCGAUGGCGAAGGCAAUCCCCUGGGCCUGCACUGACGCUCAUGCACGAAAGCGUGGGGAGCAAACAGGAUUAGAAACCCGGGUAGUCC
RNAcentral lists this ribosomal RNA (450 nucleotides) under uncultured bacterium. RNAcentral describes it as "partial 16S ribosomal RNA". It matches the Rfam family "Bacterial small subunit ribosomal RNA", at positions 354 to 796 of the family's 1533-position model. The record is from RNAcentral.